RNAcentral lists this ribosomal RNA (1554 nucleotides) under Staphylococcus haemolyticus JCSC1435. RNAcentral's name for it is "bacterial SSU rRNA". It matches the Rfam family "Bacterial small subunit ribosomal RNA". Lineage: Bacteria; Bacillati; Bacillota; Bacilli; Caryophanales; Staphylococcaceae. The record is from RNAcentral.
UUUUAUGGAGAGUUUGAUCCUGGCUCAGGAUGAACGCUGGCGGCGUGCCUAAUACAUGCAAGUCGAGCGAACAGACAAGGAGCUUGCUCCUUUGACGUUAGCGGCGGACGGGUGAGUAACACGUGGGUAACCUACCUAUAAGACUGGGAUAACUUCGGGAAACCGGAGCUAAUACCGGAUAAUAUUUCGAACCGCAUGGUUCGAUAGUGAAAGAUGGUUUUGCUAUCACUUAUAGAUGGACCCGCGCCGUAUUAGCUAGUUGGUAAGGUAACGGCUUACCAAGGCGACGAUACGUAGCCGACCUGAGAGGGUGAUCGGCCACACUGGAACUGAGACACGGUCCAGACUCCUACGGGAGGCAGCAGUAGGGAAUCUUCCGCAAUGGGCGAAAGCCUGACGGAGCAACGCCGCGUGAGUGAUGAAGGUCUUCGGAUCGUAAAACUCUGUUAUUAGGGAAGAACAUACGUGUAAGUAACUAUGCACGUCUUGACGGUACCUAAUCAGAAAGCCACGGCUAACUACGUGCCAGCAGCCGCGGUAAUACGUAGGUGGCAAGCGUUAUCCGGAAUUAUUGGGCGUAAAGCGCGCGUAGGCGGUUUUUUAAGUCUGAUGUGAAAGCCCACGGCUCAACCGUGGAGGGUCAUUGGAAACUGUAAAACUUGAGUGCAGAAGAGGAAAGUGGAAUUCCAUGUGUAGCGGUGAAAUGCGCAGAGAUAUGGAGGAACACCAGUGGCGAAGGCGACUUUCUGGUCUGUAACUGACGCUGAUGUGCGAAAGCGUGGGGAUCAAACAGGAUUAGAUACCCUGGUAGUCCACGCCGUAAACGAUGAGUGCUAAGUGUUAGGGGGUUUCCGCCCCUUAGUGCUGCAGCUAACGCAUUAAGCACUCCGCCUGGGGAGUACGACCGCAAGGUUGAAACUCAAAGGAAUUGACGGGGACCCGCACAAGCGGUGGAGCAUGUGGUUUAAUUCGAAGCAACGCGAAGAACCUUACCAAAUCUUGACAUCCUUUGACAACUCUAGAGAUAGAGCCUUCCCCUUCGGGGGACAAAGUGACAGGUGGUGCAUGGUUGUCGUCAGCUCGUGUCGUGAGAUGUUGGGUUAAGUCCCGCAACGAGCGCAACCCUUAAGCUUAGUUGCCAUCAUUAAGUUGGGCACUCUAAGUUGACUGCCGGUGACAAACCGGAGGAAGGUGGGGAUGACGUCAAAUCAUCAUGCCCCUUAUGAUUUGGGCUACACACGUGCUACAAUGGACAAUACAAAGGGCAGCGAAACCGCGAGGUCAAGCAAAUCCCAUAAAGUUGUUCUCAGUUCGGAUUGUAGUCUGCAACUCGACUACAUGAAGCUGGAAUCGCUAGUAAUCGUAGAUCAGCAUGCUACGGUGAAUACGUUCCCGGGUCUUGUACACACCGCCCGUCACACCACGAGAGUUUGUAACACCCGAAGCCGGUGGAGUAACCAUUUGGAGCUAGCCGUCGAAGGUGGGACAAAUGAUUGGGGUGAAGUCGUAACAAGGUAGCCGUAUCGGAAGGUGCGGCUGGAUCACCUCCUUUCU